GCUUACGGCCACACCGCCUGGUUCACGCCCGAUCUCGUUUGAUCUCUGAAGCUAAGAUAGGUUGGGCCUGGUUAGUACUUGGAUGGGAGACCGCCUGGGAAUACCAGGUGCUGUAACCA
This 119-nucleotide ribosomal RNA is filed under the name Scophthalmus maximus (turbot). The record is from RNAcentral. Lineage: Eukaryota; Metazoa; Chordata; Actinopteri; Pleuronectiformes; Scophthalmidae.